This 594-nucleotide ribosomal RNA is filed under the name Adelie penguin guano bacterium 58. RNAcentral's name for it is "bacterial SSU rRNA". It matches the Rfam family "Bacterial small subunit ribosomal RNA", at positions 93 to 686 of the family's 1533-position model. The record is from RNAcentral.
GAGCGGCGGACGGGUGAGUAAUACUUAGGAAUCUACCUAGUAGUGGGGGAUAGCACGGGGAAACUCGUAUUAAUACCGCAUACGACCUACGGGAGAAAGGGGGCAGUUUACUGCUCUCGCUAUUAGAUGAGCCUAAGUCGGAUUAGCUAGAUGGUGGGGUAAAGGCCUACCAUGGCGACGAUCUGUAGCUGGUCUGAGAGGAUGAUCAGCCACACCGGGACUGAGACACGGCCCGGACUCCUACGGGAGGCAGCAGUGGGGAAUAUUGGACAAUGGGGGAAACCCUGAUCCAGCCAUGCCGCGUGUGUGAAGAAGGCCUUUUGGUUGUAAAGCACUUUAAGCAGUGAAGAAGACUCCGUGGUUAAUACCCACGGACGAUGACAUUAGCUGCAGAAUAAGCACCGGCUAACUCUGUGCCAGCAGCCGCGGUAAUACAGAGGGUGCAAGCGUUAAUCGGAAUUACUGGGCGUAAAGGGAGCGUAGGUGGCUCGAUAAGUCAGAUGUGAAAUCCCCGGGCUCAACCUGGGAACUGCAUCUGAUACUGUUGAGCUAGAGUAUGUGAGAGAAGGUAGAAUUCCAGGUGUAGCGGUGAAA